GUGGAUUAGAUACCCUGGUAGUCCUAGCCGUAAACGAUGGGUGCUAGGUGUGGGGCGGCGAUCGACCCGUUCCGUGCCGUAGCCAACGCAUUAAGCACCCCGCCUGGGGAGUACGGCCGCAAGGCUAAAACUCAAAGGAAUUGACGGGGGCCCGCACAAGCGGCGGAGCAUGUGGCUUAAUUCGAUGCGACGCGAAGAACCUUACCUGGGCUUGACAUGCGGGGUGAAGCCGUGGAAACACGGCCCGCCUUCGGGAGCCCGCACAGGUGUUGCACGGCUGUCGACAGCU
RNAcentral lists this ribosomal RNA (289 nucleotides) under uncultured bacterium. RNAcentral describes it as "partial 16S ribosomal RNA". It matches the Rfam family "Bacterial small subunit ribosomal RNA", at positions 773 to 1060 of the family's 1533-position model. The record is from RNAcentral.